This 478-nucleotide ribosomal RNA is filed under the name uncultured bacterium. Its description in RNAcentral is "bacterial SSU rRNA". It matches the Rfam family "Bacterial small subunit ribosomal RNA", at positions 26 to 518 of the family's 1533-position model. The record is from RNAcentral.
CUCGAGGACGAACGCUGGCGGCGUGCUUCAUACAUGCAAGUCGAAACGAUAAGGCACCUUCGGGUGUACAUAAGUGGCGGACGGGUGAGUAAAAUGUAGAGAAUCUGCCCUAGAGAGUGGGACAACAGAGGGAAACUUCUGCUAAUACCGCAUAUGCGCGUAUCUGAAAUGAUAUUCGUGAAAACUCCGGUGCUCUAGGAUGAGUCUGCAUCUGAUUAGCUAGUUGGGGGUGUAAUGGACCACCAAGGCGACGAUCAGUAGCUGGUUUGAGAGGAUGAUCAGCCACAAUGGGACUGAGACACGGCCCAUACUCCUACGGGAGGCAGCAGUAGGGAAUUUUGCGCAAUGGGGGAAACCCUGAACCGCAGCAACGCCGCGUGAUUGAAGAAGCCCUUCGGGGUGUAAAGAUCUGUCAGUGGGGACGAAAUUUGACGGUACCCACAGAGGAAGCAUCGGCUAACUCCGUGCCAGCCGCGGC